AGAUGUGUCCAUACCUGUUAUCAACGUCCAAUCUUGGAAACUAAGCAAGGUUAGGCCUGCUUAGUACUUGGAUGGAAGCCCACUAGGAACACCAGGUGUCACAGUGG
This 107-nucleotide ribosomal RNA is filed under the name Periophthalmus magnuspinnatus. Lineage: Eukaryota; Metazoa; Chordata; Actinopteri; Gobiiformes; Gobiidae. The record is from RNAcentral.